Molecule: long non-coding RNA, 2865 nt
Filed under: Chloebia gouldiae (Gouldian finch)
Lineage: Eukaryota; Metazoa; Chordata; Aves; Passeriformes; Passeridae
Description: Erythrura gouldiae (Gouldian finch) lncRNA (ENSEGOG00005007425.1)
Source: RNAcentral
CCGAGUCCCGGUGCCUGCAGCCGAGUCCCGGUCCCUGCAGCCGAGUCCCGGUCCUUGCAGCCGAAUCCCGGUGCCGCACCGAGUCCCGGUCCUUGCAGCCGAGUCCCGGUCCUUGCAGCCGAGUCCCGGUGCCGCACAGCGUCCGUCGGGCCCAGCCGCGGGCCCGCCCGGCUGACGCUGCCCGGGGCGGCCGCUGGUGCCCUCGGGCCCGGCUCCGACGGUUCGGCGGUCCCGGGCAGUGCGAGGCGGCGGCGGGGCCGCCGUGAGGGCUGGGCCGGAGUCCGCGCCCUGCCCGUGGGCCCCGGCUUCCCGCACCCGCCGCCGGCUCCUCCUUGUCGCAGCGGAGGGCGGGGAGGGCUCGCUGUCCGCUCCCCUCCGUGCCCCGCACAGCAGCUGAGGGCUUCCUCCGCCUGCCUCUGCCCCUCAGGGCUGUGGGAGGGUCCCGCCCGGCCCGCGGGCUCCCGCAGAGCGGCUGGCUCAGUGUUGCAGCUUUCUGCCCUCCUUGUGAUGGCUGCCGCCUCUGGGGCUGCAAACUCUGAGGGGAAAGAGCUUCCUCAUGAGACAGAAACUAUGAUCUGGAAGCCCAGAAAAGAAUGUUUUCUGCAGAAUAUUCCAAAUCUUCCUGAUGGGCAGCAAGAUGCAUCUGAGCAUGAGGUGGAGGACUGGGAUAAAGAAUUGGAGGAGUCUACAUGUGGUCCUUACGAUGCUGAUGAUCUCUCCUGUGGAAGCUUUGAGGAAAAUAAUCUUUUCGGCUCAUAUGUCUGGAAGGAGGAUUGGUUUUACAACCCAGGCUGUCACCACACACCUUGCUUUGUUUUUCCACCACGAGUUAGAACAGUUGAGAAGGGCCAGUUUGAUGAUGCUGAUGAAUGAGGCCGAGUCUGGUCAGAAAUAAGUUUGGCUUCUGUGUUGGAUUAUGUUCUUCAGCGACUGAGCUGUGCCAAGUCCCUUGGCUUUUUUGCAGAGUUGGGCUGAGGCCAGAAAUGUGACACCAUCUUCAGAGUUUUGCUUUGGCUGUUUCUGAGCUGUUCAUAAACUGCCCACCCUUGCCCUGGAGACAAGAGUGCAGGGUGUAAGGAGUCAGUGCAUUUUUGGAGGUUUUGUUUGUAUAUGUAGAUCUAUAUUGCUAAUUAAUUGCUUAAGGAGAAGUAUUUAAUUUCUAAACUUCAGCUUGUUUGCCAGGCUUCUGUCAGUUUUGAUAUGCUGAUCUCUGUGUUUUGUGCAGCUUUUAGUUUUCUUUCCUUUUCAUUUGAUGCUGUCAGAUUGGUUUAGAUAGCUGUAAAAACUCUCCCUCCUUCAAGCUUAUAUGUUGUAUUUCCAUAUGGUUCUAAAGUCCAUUUGUGAUUCUUAUACUGGUGUUUAACAAAAUCACCUGUGGCGAAUACAGAACAAGUUGUUUUGUGUUUAUGUACUUCAGCAGAAAGGAAUUACAAAUACAUGAUACACGUUUUGCAAAUACAUGUGCUGAUUUAUAGGGGGGCAUACUCCAUCCACUAGGAAUGCUGGGUGCUUAAGCUUGCCUCCCAACAAAGCUUUCUCCACAUCAGACCUCCUUGUGUAUGGGCAUAUUCCCACAGUUGUCUUUGUUACAUUCUCAUGCAACAUCAGAUAUGCAAUGACAAAGAAAAUAUCUCUGCUUUUAUAUAUAUAUAUAUAUAUGUAUAUAUAUAUAUUUCAGUAUCUCAACUCAGUGUCCUGCAGGCUAGUGAAUUAAGGUUCCUGAUGUUGUUCUGCUGUUUGUGUUGUGGCAAAUGAGGAGAUGGGAACACAAAACACCUCCACAGAGUCCCUAAGAAAAUAGAUAGAACUAGAGCCAUAUCCUUGUCACCUUUGCUCUGGAGUUAAAGGAAGUGUUCUCAAAUGAAGUAUAUAAGUGGAUUGAGUGGCUGGUCACCUGAGUAACAAUAACUUUUGACGUGCUCAUGUUUCAUUCAACACUUUCAUCUCAAAAACAUUUUCAUGGCAGUGUGUUUAGACAUUCACUGAACUGAAGCAUUGUACAGUGUUUUUUUUUGUUUGUUUGUUUUUUUCUUUAAAUCAUCCAGUGUAUGAGAUCAAUAUAACUAAUGCACUAGUUUAGAAGGAAGAAGUGAACAACGCAGUGAUAUUUCCUUAAUAUCUUCCUACAGAGUACAGGAGAACAAGAGCUUGUGAGACAAGAGCUUUUCUUUGGGUACCUUUCAAUUCCUGGUUAUAUUUUGGUACCUAGCAGUCAAAGCAGAGUGGAAGCAUAGUGUUGAGAUUGCAAAAAAAGAGGGCCUGGUCUUUUAUUCCCAAAUGAUGGAGUGAUCUAGGGAUUAAUAUUUCCAUCAAAACUUCCUCAGUUAUGCCAAUAACUGUCUCAUCAUCUCAAGUGAAAAAGCUUAUUUGCAAUUAUAAGUGCAGUAUUCAUAACGAUAAAUUGAGUGCAGAUUACUGUUCAAGUAACUAUACACCAGUAAAUUGUAAAAAUUCCUCUGAAAACUCCCUGGUUCUUUUGUGAGCCUGUUUAUUCUGUGCAGGCCUGGCUGUGGAUGACAAGCCCAAGGCUUCCCUGCAGAGGGCAGCAAAAAAUUGUCUGCCCUGCUCGGUGUGCGCUCAGCAGUGCGAGCUCCCCGGGCUGGAUUUCUAACGCUGAUAGCAAUUUAGAUCAGAGUUCUGCAUAGCCCUGUUGUUCCCCAGUGAGGCUGAUUCAUGGCCCUGAUUAGUUUCUCAUUUUUUUUUAUUUCACUCUGAAGUUAUACUUACUGGACUGAAAAAUUUCUCCCAUGGCUGAGUGAAGAACAUCACUUGACUUCAGGCUUAAUAUAUUUUUUUUUACUAUGCUUGUGGGAGAUAUCCCACCGUAUUCAAUAAAGAUGAAACUAAUAGAAUUCUGUGGAAGCA